UUUCCGUAGGUGAACCUGCGGAAGGAUCAUUCAUAAUAAAGUGUUUUAUGGCACUUUUUAAAAAUCCAUAUCCACCUUGUGUGCAAUGUUAGAUCUCGUCAAUCUUGGCGAGAUUUUUAUACAUCAACUCAUUCUUUAACUAAUUUGUCUGAAAAAUAUUAUGAAUACUUAAUUCAAAAUACAACUUUCAACAACGGAUCUCUUGGCUCUCGCAUCGAUAAAGAACGCAGC
RNAcentral lists this unclassified non-coding RNA (231 nucleotides) under plant metagenome. RNAcentral's name for it is "partial contains small subunit ribosomal RNA, internal transcribed spacer 1, and 5.8S ribosomal RNA". The stretch from base 183 to 231 matches the Rfam family "5.8S ribosomal RNA", at positions 1 to 49 of the family's 154-position model. The record is from RNAcentral.